UUUUUAAGUAGAAACUGUUAAUAUUAUUGCCUGUAGGUUCAUGAGGGGAGAAAUCAUGAAGUUAGAGAACUUGUCAAAAGUGCUGGACUUCAGAUUUAUUCACUGAAACGGAUACGUAUUGGUGCGUUUAGGCUUCCACCAGAUCUACUGUUAAGCAAGUACAUUGAAUUAAAACCACCUCAGUUAAAGGCGUUGGGAUGGGACGAGAAGUAAUUUUGACAAGUGGAACCUAUACGCAGAUGAAAGCGUAAAGUAGAGGCGUUCAGUUAUUUCGGUUGCAAAAAUUCGACCUCUCAUCAUGUACAAAGAGGGUAACAACUAAAUUCAUGAUUUUGUUGUUUUUCAUGUAGACUGACAGAUUAAUAGUUUAAUACUAGAAAAUUACUAAAACACAAUUACGCGAUGAACUGUUCAAAACUAAAACCACUGGAAAACUAAAA
RNAcentral lists this long non-coding RNA (440 nucleotides) under Helianthus annuus (common sunflower). The record is from RNAcentral. Lineage: Eukaryota; Viridiplantae; Streptophyta; Magnoliopsida; Asterales; Asteraceae.